CCUACGGGUGGCAGCAGUGGGGAAUAUUGCACAAUGGGGGAAACCCUGAUGCAGCGACGCCGCGUGAGUGAGGAAGUAUUUCGGUAUGUAAAGCUCUAUCAGCAGGGAAGUAAAUGACGGUACCUGACUAAGUAGCUACGGCUAACUCCGUGCCAGCAGCCGCGGUACUACGUAGGGGGCGAGCGUUAUCCGGAUUUACUGGGUGUAAAGGGAGCGUAGACGGCUAAUCAAGUCAGAAGUGAAAACCCAGGGCUCAACUUUGGGACUGCUUUUGAAACUGAGUAGCUAGAGUGCAGGAGAGGUAAGCGGAAUUCGUGGUGUAGCGGUGAAAUGCGUAGAUAUUAGGAGGAACACCAGUGGCGAAGGCGGCUUACUGGGCUGUAACUGACGUUGAGGCUCGAAAGCGUGGGGAGCAAACAGGAUUAGAUACCCCAGUAGUC
Molecule: ribosomal RNA, 440 nt
Filed under: uncultured bacterium
Lineage: Bacteria
Description: partial 16S ribosomal RNA
Rfam family: Bacterial small subunit ribosomal RNA
Source: RNAcentral